Molecule: non-coding RNA, 47 nt
Organism: Tropilaelaps mercedesae
Lineage: Eukaryota; Metazoa; Arthropoda; Arachnida; Mesostigmata; Laelapidae
Source: Rfam
GAAACGGCCCUUUUCAGGGCCACCAAAUUCUACAAGAUUAAACGCUU